GGGAUUAUAGUUAACAAUAACAUUUGAGUUGCAUUCAAAAAGUACUUUACCUAAAGUUAAUCUCA
RNAcentral lists this transfer RNA (65 nucleotides) under Schedorhinotermes lamanianus. RNAcentral describes it as "tRNA-Ala". Lineage: Eukaryota; Metazoa; Arthropoda; Insecta; Blattodea; Rhinotermitidae. The record is from RNAcentral.